GAGUAUAUCAAGCUUAAUACAUAAAUAGUAGAUUAUAAAUUGAUCAUUUUUUUAGUCCCUAUUCUGCUGAUAUCUUCAUUUACCUCCAAAGAAGGUGUACCCCACUUAGUGAGUAAAAGCUGUUUAAACCAGAGCCAGGUACACUGAGUUGGCUCUGGAGAAUGUGAGCAAUAUACCAUUUGGUGUUCUAAUUUGUUUAGAUUUCCUUUACAUACUUCACCAGAGAGAUAUCUUUG
This is a non-coding RNA of Pelobates cultripes (western spadefoot toad), 236 nucleotides long. The record is from the annotation of a GenBank genome assembly. NCBI's taxonomy places the organism in Eukaryota, Metazoa, Chordata, Amphibia, Anura, Pelobatidae.